RNAcentral lists this ribosomal RNA (918 nucleotides) under uncultured bacterium. Its description in RNAcentral is "bacterial SSU rRNA". It matches the Rfam family "Bacterial small subunit ribosomal RNA", at positions 1 to 911 of the family's 1533-position model. The record is from RNAcentral.
UAGAGUUUGAUCAUGGCUCAGAACGAACGCUGGCGGCGUGCUUAACACAUGCAAGUCGAACGCGAACGAGUUCUUCGGGACUUUAGUAGAGUGGCGCACGGGUGAGUAACGCGUAAGUAAUCUACCUCGGCAUCUGGAAUAACACAUCGAAAGGUGUGCUAAUACUGGAUACGUUGAGUAAUCAAGAAAGGUGGCCUCUGAAUAUGCUACUGUGCUGAGAUGAGCUUGCGUACCAUUAGCUAGUUGGUAGGGUAAUGGCCUACCAAGGCGACGAUGGUUAGCGGGUCUGAGAGGAUGAUCCGCCACACUGGAACUGGAACACGGACCAGACUCCUACGGGAGGCAGCAGUGAGGAAUAUUGCGCAAUGGGGGAAACCCUGACGCAGCGACGCCGCGUGGAUGAUGAAGGCCUUCGGGUCGUAAAAUCCUGUCAGAUGGAAAGAAGUGUUAUGUGGCUAAUAUCCAUGUAACUUGACGGUACCAUCGAAGGAAGCACCGGCUAACUCCGUGCCAGCAGCCGCGGUAAUACGGAGGGUGCAAGCGUUGUUCGGAAUUACUGGGCGUAAAGCGCGCGUAGGCGGUUUUAUAAGUCAGAUGUGAAAGCCCAUGGCUCAACCAUGGACGUGCAUUUGAAACUGUGAGACUUGAGUAUUGGAGGGGGUGGUGGAAUUCUCGGUGUAGAGGUGAAAUUCGUAGAUAUCGGGAGGAAUACCGGUGGCGAAGGCGAUCACCUGGUCAAAUACUGACGCUAAGGCGCGAAAGCGUGGGGAGCAAACAGGAUUAGAUACUCUGGCUAGUCCACGCCGUAAACGAUGUCAACUAGGUGUUGGGACGGUUAAUCGUCUCAUUGCCGCAGCUAACGCAUUAAGUUGACCGCCUGGGGGAGUACGGGUCGCAAGAUUAAAACUCAAAGGGAAU